AGUGAACGCUGGCGGUAGGCCUAACACAUGCAAGUCGAACGGCAGCACAGUAAGAGCUUGCUCUUACGGGUGGCGAGUGGCGGACGUGUGAGGAAUACAUCGGAAUCUACUUUUUCGUGGGGGAUAACGUAGGGAAACUUACGCUAAUACCGCAUACGACCUACGGGUGAAAGCAGGGGAUCUUCGGACCUUGCGCGAUUGAAUGAGCCGAUGUCGGAUUAGCUAGUUGGCGGCGUAAAGGCCCACCAAGGCGACGAUCCGUAGCUGGUCUGAGAGGAUGAUCAGCCACACUGGAACUGAGACACGGUCCAGACUCCUACGGGAGGCAGCAGUGGGGAAUAUUGGACAAUGGGCGAAAGCCUGAUCCAGCCAUACCGCGUGGGUGAAGAAGGCCUUCGGGUUGUAAAGCCCUUUUGUUGGGAAAGAAAAGCAGCAGGUUAAUACCCCGCUGUUCUGACGGUACCCAAAGAAUAAGCACCGGCUAACUUCGUG
Molecule: ribosomal RNA, 492 nt
Filed under: uncultured bacterium
Lineage: Bacteria
Description: partial 16S ribosomal RNA
Rfam family: Bacterial small subunit ribosomal RNA
Source: RNAcentral